Octopus bimaculoides (California two-spot octopus) is the source of this 501-nucleotide long non-coding RNA. The record is from RefSeq and is a predicted model, not a curated record. Lineage: Eukaryota; Metazoa; Mollusca; Cephalopoda; Octopoda; Octopodidae.
UUCUGUUCCAAUACCUCUCAAUGAAUUUCCUAUGCAACAGCAUCAGUUUAAGUCUGCUUCAAAGUCUUAUUGAUUUUUCUUAUUCAAGCGCGCACAACCCUUCCAAAAAAUUCUACCAGGUACAUCAGAUGAGGAGGACAUCACACGGACAGUCUACAAUUUGUUUGGAGGUUUACAUAAAAGCUGAGAGGAAGAAAGGGAGAGGAGGGGAUAAAAUGUAAUAAAAAUAUACGCAGUAUAAAAAAUAUGGGAACACAUCUAUGAUGCAGCCCUCUUGAUGUAGAAGAACCUGCAGCUAAGGGGAAUCAAGAAACCUUACAGAUCCAGAAUCACUUUCACCAUAAAGGGUACAAACCCUCACCCAACUGUUGCCCUCCAAUAGCUGGAAUUCUGGUUUAAGCACCCCCAUGUAGCCCUUCAAAAUUAAAAAUUGUUUUUGGAAUUUUUGGAAAAUUUUUGUGAAUUUAUGUUCUGCAGACAGGAAUUUAUAUAAUUAUGAAA